UGGGGAAUUUGGACAAUGGGCGAAAGCCUGAUCCAGCAAUGCCGCGUGUGUGAAGAAGGCCUUCGGGUUGUAAAGCACUUUUGUCCGGAAAGAAAUCCUUGGCUCUAAUACAGUCGGGGGAUGACGGUACCGGAAGAAUAAGCACCGGCUAACUACGUGCCAGCAGCCGCGGUAAUACGUAGGGUGCAAGCGUUAAUCGGAAUUACUGGGCGUAAAGCGUGCGCAGGCGGUUUGCUAAGACCGAUGUGAAAUCCCCGGGCUCAACCUGGGAACUGCAUUGGUGACUGGCAGGCUAGAGUAUGGCAGAGGGGGGUAGAAUUCCACGUGUAGCAGUGAAAUGCGUAGAGAUGUGGAGGAAUACCGAUGGCGAAGGCAGCCCCCUGGGCCAAUACUGACGCUCAUGCACGAAAGCGUGGGGAGCAAAACAGGAUUAGAUACCCUGGUAGUCCACGCCCUAAAACGAUGUCAACUAGUUGUUGGGGAUUCAUUUCCUUAGUAACGUAGCUAACGCGUGAAGUUGACCGCCUGGGGAGUACGGUCGCAAGAUUAAAACUUAAAUGAAUUGACGGGGUCAUAGCUGUUUCCU
RNAcentral lists this ribosomal RNA (586 nucleotides) under uncultured bacterium. Its description in RNAcentral is "partial 16S ribosomal RNA". It matches the Rfam family "Bacterial small subunit ribosomal RNA", at positions 356 to 1375 of the family's 1533-position model. The record is from RNAcentral.